CGGAGGAACAUGUGGUUUAAUUCGAUGAUACGCGAGGAACCUUACCUGGGCUUAAAUGUAGAGUGCAUUUUCUAGAGAUAGGAAUUCCCUUCGGGGCUUUCUACAAGGUGCUGCAUGGUUGUCGUCAGCUCGUGCCGUGAGGUGUCGGGUUAAGUCCCAUAACGAGCGCAACCCUUAUCGUUAGUUGCCAUCUGGUAAAGCAGGGGACUCUAGCGAAACUGCCACCGUAAGGUGAGAGGAAGUGGGGAUGACGUCAAAUCAGCACGGCCCUUAUGUCCAGGGCUACACACGUGUUACAAUGGUCGGUACAGAGGGCAGCUACCUGGUGACAGGAUGCUAAUCUCGAAAACCGGCCUCAGUUCGGAUCGAAGUCUGCAACUCGACUUCGUGAAGCUGGAUUCGCUAGUAAUCGCGCAUCAGCCAUGGCGCGGUGAAUACGUUCCCGGGCCUU
This 451-nucleotide ribosomal RNA is filed under the name uncultured Sphingobacteriales bacterium. Its description in RNAcentral is "bacterial SSU rRNA". It matches the Rfam family "Bacterial small subunit ribosomal RNA", at positions 930 to 1382 of the family's 1533-position model. The record is from RNAcentral. Lineage: Bacteria; Pseudomonadati; Bacteroidota; Sphingobacteriia; Sphingobacteriales.